CAGUAGCGCGGUAAUACGUAGGUGGCAAGCGUUGUCCGGAAUUAUUGGGCGUAAAGGGCUCGCAGGCGGUUUCUUAAGUCUGAUGUGAAAGCCCCCGGCUCAACCGGGGAGGGUCAUUGGAAACUGGGAAACUUGAGUGCAGAAGAGGAGAGUGGAAUUCCACGUGUAGCGGUGAAAUGCGUAGAGAUGUGGAGGAACACCAGUGGCGAAGGCGACUCUCUGGUCUGUAACUGACGCUGAGGAGCGAAAGCGUGGGGAGCGAACAGGAUUAGAUACCCCGGUAGUCCCUGUCUCUUAUACA
RNAcentral lists this ribosomal RNA (301 nucleotides) under uncultured bacterium. Its description in RNAcentral is "partial 16S ribosomal RNA". It matches the Rfam family "Bacterial small subunit ribosomal RNA", at positions 509 to 808 of the family's 1533-position model. The record is from RNAcentral.